AUACUUCAGCAGCACAUAUACUAAAACUGGAAUGAUACAGAAAUUAGCAUGUCCCUUGUACAAAGAUGACAUGCAAAUUUGUGAAACAUUCCCUAUUUUU
Heterocephalus glaber (naked mole-rat) is the source of this 100-nucleotide small nuclear RNA. NCBI's taxonomy places the organism in Eukaryota, Metazoa, Chordata, Mammalia, Rodentia, Bathyergidae. The record is from Ensembl.